UCUCCGUUGGUGAACCAGCGGAGGGAUCAUUACAGGACUCGCAAGACUCCUACAACCCUGUGAACUUAACUAUAAGCACGUUGCUUCGGCGGGUGUCUCGGAGGGGGUUCUCCCUCCCCGAGACGCUAAACCCGCCGGCAGCCUACUAUACUCUGUCUCUUUGCGUUGGCAUCUCGAGUACAAUCAAACAAGUUAAAACUUUCAACAACGGGUCUCUUGGUUCUG
RNAcentral lists this unclassified non-coding RNA (225 nucleotides) under plant metagenome. RNAcentral's name for it is "partial contains small subunit ribosomal RNA, internal transcribed spacer 1, and 5.8S ribosomal RNA". The record is from RNAcentral.